Molecule: microRNA, 21 nt
Filed under: Brachypodium distachyon (stiff brome)
Lineage: Eukaryota; Viridiplantae; Streptophyta; Magnoliopsida; Poales; Poaceae
Also listed under: 1 other name
Description: bdi-miR169a-3p
Gene: bdi-miR169a-3p
Source: miRBase by way of RNAcentral
GGCGAGUUGUUCUUGGCUACA